CUACUCAUGAGCGCUUGAGGUGCUGACCGGUUCAUGCGACCGGUCGGAGAAUUGGGAAGCCGGUCACGAAUCCGGCGCUGCCCCCGCAACGGUAGCAGAACUGAAAUGCGACAGAACCCACUGGGCAAGAUGCCUGGGAAGGGGUCGCAUGGGUCCGAAAGGACGGUUCUGGAGCCCGGAAACCAGCCUCGGGAUUUUGAACUCG
This 205-nucleotide non-coding RNA is filed under the name Sinorhizobium saheli. Lineage: Bacteria; Pseudomonadati; Pseudomonadota; Alphaproteobacteria; Hyphomicrobiales; Rhizobiaceae. The record is from RNAcentral.